Molecule: transfer RNA, 67 nt
Filed under: Rhipidocerus australasiae
Lineage: Eukaryota; Metazoa; Arthropoda; Insecta; Coleoptera; Cerambycidae
Description: tRNA-Ser
Source: RNAcentral
GAAAUACGAAAUCCAAAAGUAGGCUUCUAACCUAACUUUUAAGCAGCGAAAUUCUGUUUAUAUUUCU